GUAGGGAAUCUUCGGCAAUGGACGAAAGUCUGACCGAGCAACGCCGCGUGAGUGAAGAAGGUUUUCGGAUCGUAAAACUCUGUUGUUAGAGAAGAACAAGGGUGAGAGUAACUGUUCACCCCUUGACGGUAUCUAACCAGAAGCCACGGCUAACUACGUGCCAG
This 164-nucleotide ribosomal RNA is filed under the name uncultured bacterium. RNAcentral's name for it is "partial 16S ribosomal RNA". It matches the Rfam family "Bacterial small subunit ribosomal RNA", at positions 354 to 511 of the family's 1533-position model. The record is from RNAcentral.